RNAcentral lists this unclassified non-coding RNA (434 nucleotides) under fungal sp. RNAcentral describes it as "partial internal transcribed spacer region". The stretch from base 1 to 46 matches the Rfam family "Eukaryotic small subunit ribosomal RNA", at positions 1786 to 1831 of the family's 1831-position model. The record is from RNAcentral. Lineage: Eukaryota; Fungi.
AAGUCGUAACAAGGUUUCCGUAGGUGAACCUGCGGAAGGAUCAUUAACACGUAUCCACGUAUCAACCAACUGGUCUUAUAUGUUUUCACCCUCGCCCUUGCGAUUCGGCAUGAAUUGGACUGCGAUCUGACGAGAAUGAAAUGGGGGAAGGAAGAAAGAGUCAAAUCCGAAACCUUCCACUCGUCGAAUCACAACUGAUGGACGAAACGCCAUCGACAAUUGUAGCCGAAUCGAGCAAGGCAAAUUUGUUCUACUUAUUAGUCUCUCCCUUUCAUGGGACGAACGGUGGAAUUUAUUUCAUACACACAAUCACCCCCUUUUUGCUAGUUGACUUUUCUAUGUUGUUGUUCUCUUCCCUUGAUUGGGUCGGAGCCUCACACAUUUCUUAAUUGAAUUUGAAUUUACAACUCUUAGCAAUGGAUAUCUUGGUUCUC